Molecule: ribosomal RNA, 553 nt
Filed under: uncultured archaeon
Lineage: Archaea
Description: bacterial SSU rRNA
Rfam family: Archaeal small subunit ribosomal RNA
Source: RNAcentral
CGGGGUGCAGCAGGCGCGAAAACUUUACAAUGCGGGAAACCGUGAUAAGGGGACACCGAGUGCCAGCAUCCUAUGCUGGCUGUCCGGGUGUGUAAAAUACACCUGUUAGCAAGGGCCGGGCAAGACCGGUGCCAGCCGCCGCGGUAACACCGGCGGCCCGAGUGGUGAUCGUGAUUAUUGGGUCUAAAGGGUCCGUAGCCGGUUUGGUCAGUCCUCCGGGAAAUCUGACAGCUUAACUGUUAGGCUUUCGGAGGAUACUGCCAGACUUGGAACCGGGAGAGGUAAGAGGUACUACAGGGGUAGGAGUGAAAUCUUGUAAUCCCUGUGGGACCACCUGUGGCGAAGGCGUCUUACCAGAACGGGUUCGACGGUGAGGGACGAAAGCUGGGGGCACGAACCGGAUUAGAUACCCGGGUAGUCCCAGCCGUAAACGAUGCUCGCUAGGUGUCAGGCAUGGCGUGACCGUGUCUGGUGCCGCAGGGAAGCCGUGAAGCGAGCCACCUGGGAAGUACGGCCGCAAGGCUGAAACUUAAAGGAAUUGGCGGGGGAGCAC